UUGUGUCGCCAGACGCAUUGCCCGGUAGCUAAGUUCGGAAUUGAUAAGCGCUGAAAGCAUCUAAGCGCGAAGCGAGCCCUGAGAUGAGUCUUCCCUGACGGUUUAACCGUCCUAAAGGGUUGUUCGAGACUAGAACGUUGAUAGGCAGGGUGUGUAAGCGUUGUGAGGCGUUGAGCUAACCUGUACUAAUUGCCCGUGAGGCUUAAC
Molecule: ribosomal RNA, 207 nt
Filed under: Vibrio cholerae
Lineage: Bacteria; Pseudomonadati; Pseudomonadota; Gammaproteobacteria; Vibrionales; Vibrionaceae
Description: partial 23S ribosomal RNA
Rfam family: Bacterial large subunit ribosomal RNA
Source: RNAcentral